Acomys russatus (golden spiny mouse) is the source of this 104-nucleotide small nucleolar RNA. RefSeq annotates it as small nucleolar RNA ACA64. The record is from RefSeq and is a predicted model, not a curated record. Lineage: Eukaryota; Metazoa; Chordata; Mammalia; Rodentia; Muridae. The transcript has a single exon.
GGAGCUGAGAGUUGGAGUGGGUGAGAUUCAGGGGCCCAGAGCCACGGGGCCUCAGCUCACUGCCUGCUUCAGUGUGGGAGGGCUAAACCGAGGCCUCUACACUG